CAUAGAGUCAGUGAAGCCAGGUUGCCCAGCAACAUUGUUAUGCCUCAUGCCUCUGGCUCCUGGAUGUUACAUCAUAAAUGCUUAUGUGGCUCCAAUCACAUGGACACCACAACAGUUCUACCUCUAGUCCUACAAGGGUUCAGGUAUUCCAUACCUAAAAGUGAGAUCCAGUGCUGGUUUCAGGGAGCCAGGGCAGGGCUCCCUUCUAGCCCUGGAAGAUCUUCAAGCCACUGUUUGUCUUGACUCUGGGUGAUUCUAGGACAAAAACAGAGUUCGGCCCCAUUCUGACCCAGCGAAAGAAGGUGUAGAACUUUGGAACCAGGCCCCUCUCAUCUCUCUUACUCAUGCCCAGGUGUAAGACCAGGUGGCUUCUUUCCUAGGAAAAUGUAAGACAGGUGCCUGUUGAGGAGUCAGUUCCACAUCCAAAGGAAGUCCACGGCCCUACUGGGAUUUCUGGGAGCUCCAGACAACUUCUGCUUUGUGUUCACCUCUGGCCUCUGCUUCUGGGCUGCUGCCUCAGUGCUACACUGUUUCAACCCAGAUGGGAAAUGUAGACCCUUCCUCAAUUUCCACCCAAAGCCUUGUUUAUAGCCCUUAAGCACCAUUGUAGAAAAUGUCACAGAAGCUGGAGAUGGGGUGGAGCAAAAAAAUAGUUCCCCAUAUUACUGAGAUUCGAAAUCCUCCAACUGACCCAUCCUGCAUCUUAAAACAUCCUUCAACCACCACAUCACCCACAAGGAAAGUCGGUGGUCUUCAAGGGAAAGAGUCCUCAGUUUCACACUCCAUUUCACUGGCUCCUUACUCCCCUCUUCUCCUCCCACCCCUUUCUUAUUUCUUAGAUUACCUCUGGGAAUCCCAAAUCUUUGAAACCCAUUAUAGAGUCAUUUGAUUCCCCAGCAAAACUUGUCUCCUGAGGAGUGCACUCCAAAUCCACAAAUGAGCUCAGCACACCUUUUGGGGAGAUAAAAGAAAAAUGUUUUUCUCUUAUGUUAAAAAUGGCAACACGAAUUGAACACUUAUAAUAAUAAUAGUGAUAAUUACAGAGAAUUGACUGUGCUAGGCGCAGUAUUAAGCGUUUUAUCUGCCUCAUCCCAUUUAAAAGUCAAAAUGUCAAGAGUGUGGGCCCUGCCCCUCCACUCUGCCCAGGCCUGGUCCAGCCCCGAGCUGGCUGACCCCAUCACAGCCCACCUGGCCCGUCCACUCUAUGUUUCAACCCUGUAAAUGUCUGCCAGCUCAGAGGCCUUUGCUAUUUUGCCUUUCACUAGGGCAUCUAGCUAACCCAGGGUUUCUUAACCUCUGCACGAUUGCCAUUUGGAGCUGGAAAAUUCCUCAUUGUUGGGUAUGUCCUGUGCAUUGCAGGAGGUGAGACUGUGUUAAUAGAAGCUUCUUGUUUUUAAUAAUGUUCCCUGGAAGAAUAUAAAUUCAGUAACUUUUUUUCUUUACUAUUAAUGCUGGCUCAUAGAAACUCAAGAGUCUGAGAACCUUUGGCUCUGGCUUGAAAAUCUAUGAUUCUGGGUAUUUGAAGGAAGAAGGUACGUAGCCUGCCUGCUGACCUUUUAAUGAGCGUUAAAUGACAUCAUUGAAAUUGAGCUGCCCCAACAGCCUUCCUGGGAAGUAUCCAUUUCAAGGGUAAAGGUUGUUGAAUACAGGAAGAUGUUAAGACAAGCGUUCUCACCAACGAGAGAGAGGCAUGGAUCACUUCUGCUGCUAAACUCUGAGUCCCUCCUCGUGACCACCAAAUAGGAUGAGAAAGCUCAAGCAUGUGGAUAUGGAGAGUUUGGGAAAGCAUGAAUGCAGUCCACUACCAUGAAUUAUGCAGUCGAGUUUCCCACAUUUUGGGAAAUCACAGGGGUCAGCAUACCCAGAGUGCAGUGGGUAAGCCUCGCCCUGGAAAACCACCUUCGUGAUCAUGGUAUCUCUUCCACCAGCCAGAGGAACUGAAGAAUCAACAUGAGAAGAAAAAUGCAGUAGGACCCCUGGCUGAGUAUCUGUCUUCUGCUUAAUCUUCAGUUUCCCUGAGGAGACAGGGAGAAGAUGGGAUUCUCGGGGCAUGGAGAGAUGCCCCCCUGAGAUUUUCCCACCUGAGGUGUGCCAGUCCUCCUGAGAAGGCCACCUGAAAGAGUAAGUUCAUCACCCCAGGAGCAGGAAUCAAUGUGGGGAAAAGUAGAGACCAUGAGUUGGGGGUACUUUCUUGGCCGUUCCUGAUGGCCCUGUCCUUCCGGUGUGUCCCAGGAACCGGGUAACCUCUCUUGUGGCCUGCUUCAUAAUGCUUUGCCUACCUGUCUGGCUCCCCCACUGGUUGCUGGGCUCCUCGAGGAACUGAAUCUUUUUCUGUUUUUGUUCCAUACCUAGCAACUGGCAUUUCCAUGAUAAGCAUUUAAUACAAAUUGAUUAAAGGAAAUGAAUACAUGAGCCUUGUUAAUUUACGUUCUGCUUUAGACCCAAACAUUUUGAGGCCGAAUCGUGUUGCUUAGAAGUAGACGAAUGAGACUAAAUGAAGGAUGUUGUUCACACUGCCGUAUACGUUAGUAGAUCCUCAGUUGUGACUUAUUGAAUGGGUGCUUAUAAAUGUCUCCCAGUUAAUGCUCCGCUAUUUAUAUGUAGCACAAUUUAUUUCUCAGUGGCAUCGAUUUUGUAACAAAGUAGCACUUUGAGGCAGCAUUUACACAUAUCUAUCUAGUUAUUCCAGUGAGGCAAAGAUCUUCCAAUUACCAUUCUCUAUGCACAUAAGAGUAUAUACUUCUGCCCUUCCAUCAAAGAUAGGACAUAGGCUUUUUUGUCCCAUCCCUGACCCUUGUAGGUCAGGACAACUUGUUCCCCUAUUAUGUGUAUGUGUGUGUGUGUUCAGGAAACAAAGGCUAAACGACUUUCAGCAAAGGCAGUUGAGGUUCCUGUAUCUCCUCCUGCAUAAUGAGUCCUGCCAGUUAGGCUGCACGAGGGUGAGAAAGGUGACAGCUUGCCAGCACGGUCUGUGGCAUUUGGAUAAACAAACAUCAAUAUUUAUCAGAGCUGCUCCAGUGUGCUUCCUUGGCUGCUGGAACAGGGAGCCCUCCCUGUGCUUAUAUACAGUUUUCUCUGUAUGAGAUAAACGUUUGUGGUCAUUAAGGGGGAAAAAAAUGUUUGUACUCUUCUCCCCAGUUACCUAGGCUAAUUUACUGUACUAGGAGGCCUCGUAAUUCAUUAAUGAUAUACAAAUACAAACCAAGGGAAGAAAUUGCCUUGUUAAUUGACUUUUGCGAUGCUAAUCUAAGACUCACUGGCUUUAAACAUUGCCCAGCAACUGUACUUGUACCACACACACUUAUGGAAAAGCAGCAAGCCACCCAAUGCAGAUGUUUGAGAUCAGUGACUCUGGCCUUUGUAACUAGACACUCACCUCCAUCAGUUUUCCUUAGGAAUCUGGAGGGGGAGGAAACGAGGAAAAGAGACAAAGAGCUGGGAACAGACUCAACCAUCCUAGAAGAGAGCCCAGACAUACUAAAAGUAAAGGCCAGGCUGUGUGGGACCAUGCUAGGCCAUGCUGGGCCUUGCCGGGUUGUGUGGGGUGUGGCCAGGCUGCCUACCCCAGCCCAGAUGGCUGCAAAACUUGAUUAGAAACAGUACCACUAGGCGCAGCUGACUGGUCCAAUUAGGAGCAAAGGUCAUUAAUCUUAAGAAACGAAUCUUCUCCGCUGACAACCCUAGGCAAGGCUUCUGUCCUUCCUCUCUGAUCAUUGCCAACGGAGAAGACAGGGAACUUUUGUCAGUUAUUACAACGAACUGGGAAGUUGCAGAGUUGCGUGCUGAGGUUUCCCAGGUCAGCCUUGAUGGUCAGAUGGAUCUGGAUUUAAAAUCUUGUUCGUUCUCUCUCCCCCUGUGACUGCCAGUCACCUACCCCGACCAUUCUGGAGCUGGAAUUUCAAGUUCAUGAUUGUGAUUUCCUUUGAGUCUGCAGUGGGGCCACCUAGAUGACAAAUCUUGCUCCUCCUUGCAGAAGCCACACACCCAUGGCAUGAGGAGCCAUGUAGAUUUUACUGCAGAUUCCAUAGGAGAAGCAAAGGGGAGACGACUUCACGCCCCACAGCACUCAGCCUGAAUCCUCCUGCUUGAUUUUUCUAUUCUCCCGAAGGUCCUCUUUGAUUGCUUUUGCCCCUGGGACUUUUCC
Long non-coding RNA from Rhinolophus ferrumequinum (greater horseshoe bat), 4144 nucleotides. RefSeq lists it as uncharacterized. NCBI's taxonomy places the organism in Eukaryota, Metazoa, Chordata, Mammalia, Chiroptera, Rhinolophidae. The record is from RefSeq and is a predicted model, not a curated record. The transcript has 4 exons.